AAUAGCCUGACGGCUGAACCAGCAACUUGGAGGAAUGGAUAGCGAAAGCUAAUUGUACUAAUGGUACAAUAACGAUUUAAUCGUAUAAAAUUCUGGGUAAGAUUAUGAUGAUGACAUUAUUUACCUAUAUUUCUUGACCAAAUUACGUGCCAGCAGUCGCGGUAAUACGUAGAAGAUUAGUGUUAUUCAUCUUUAAUAGGUUUAAAGGGUACCUAGACAGCAAAUCAAGCCUUUAAUUUAAUAGGGACUAGUUUGCUAGAGUUACUUGUGAGGGGGCAUUAAAGUACUGUCGGUGUAGAGAUAAAAUUCAUUGAUACCCUUUUUCGUACGAAAAUUAAUGGCACAGAUUUAGGCAAAAGCAUCCCCUUAUGUGAUAACUGACGUUGAAGGACGAAGGCUUUGUGUAGCGAACAGGAUUAGAUACCCCAAUAGUCGAAGCAGAAAAUGAUGAGUGUCAUGGAUUAGAUGUAUAUAUUUAUUCUAUAAAUGAAAGUGUAAGCACUCCACCUCAAGAGUAAUUUGGCAACAUUGGAACUGAAAUCAUUAGACCGUUUCUGAAACCAGUAGUGAAGUAUGUUGUUUAAUUAGAUAGCACGCAAAAAACCUUACCACAAUUUGAAUAUUUACAUAUGCUGUACUUAGAUAAUAGGUAAAAACUAAAUAUAGCAUAGAAACGUAUCUACAAGCGUUGCAUGGUUGUCUUCAGUUAAUGUCGUGAGGCUAUGGUUAGUUCCAUUAAUUAACGUAAA
This 749-nucleotide ribosomal RNA is filed under the name Puttea exsequens. RNAcentral's name for it is "SSU rRNA". It matches the Rfam family "Bacterial small subunit ribosomal RNA", at positions 370 to 1102 of the family's 1533-position model. The record is from RNAcentral. Lineage: Eukaryota; Fungi; Ascomycota; Lecanoromycetes; Lecanorales.